This 101-nucleotide transfer RNA is filed under the name Moniliophthora perniciosa FA553. It matches the Rfam family "tRNA". Rfam says of the family: Transfer RNA (tRNA) molecules are approximately 80 nucleotides in length. Lineage: Eukaryota; Fungi; Basidiomycota; Agaricomycetes; Agaricales; Marasmiaceae. The record is from Rfam by way of RNAcentral.
GGCCGACUAGCUCAGUUGGUUAGAGCGUCGUGCUAAUAUAUCCUUGGGAUUUAAUUUGGGAUAUUACGCGAAGGUCUUAGGUUCGAUCCCCACGUUGGCCA